ACAGCCGCCCAGCGACCGGCAAAAACGCGCCAUUCCUGGGUCACAGUAGCGAA
Molecule: small RNA, 53 nt
Filed under: Sinorhizobium meliloti 2011
Lineage: Bacteria; Pseudomonadati; Pseudomonadota; Alphaproteobacteria; Hyphomicrobiales; Rhizobiaceae
Description: putative ncRNA
Source: RNAcentral